GGCGAACGCUGGCGGCGUGCUUAAUACAUGCAAGUCGAACGGACCGAUUCCGGUAGUUUACUGUUGGGAAAGGGUAGUGGCGGACGGGUGAGUAACGCGUGGGCAAUCUGCCCCUAAGUCAGGGAUAACAGAGCGAAAGUUCUGCUAAGACCGGAUACUCGUAACCAGCUGCAUGGUGGGUAAAGGAAAGGGAGCGGGUAGGGCUGGGCCCGCGUCUCAUUAGCUAGGUGGUGGGGUAGUGGCCUACCAAGGCAACGAAGGGUAGCCGGCCUGAGGGGGUGAGCGGCCACAUUGGGACUGCGAUACGGCCCAGACGCCUACGGGAGGCAGCAGUGGGGAAUAUGGCACGAUGGGCGGAAGCCUGAUGCAGCAACGCCGCGUGCGGGAUGACGGCCGUCGGGUUGGAAACCGCUUUCGCCUGUGACGAAGCGUGAGUGACGGUAAUGGGUAAAGAAGCACCGGCUAACUACGUG
This 473-nucleotide ribosomal RNA is filed under the name uncultured bacterium. RNAcentral describes it as "partial 16S ribosomal RNA". It matches the Rfam family "Bacterial small subunit ribosomal RNA", at positions 28 to 507 of the family's 1533-position model. The record is from RNAcentral.